AGUCGAACGCUUUGUGGUUCAACUGAUUUGAAGAGCUUGCUCAGAUAUGACGAUGGACAUUGCAAAGAGUGGCGAACGGGUGAGUAACACGUGGGAAACCUACCUCUUAGCAGGGGAUAACAUUUGGAAACAGAUGCUAAUACCGUAUAACAAUGACAACCGCAUGGUUGUUAUUUAAAAGAUGGUUCUGCUAUCACUAAGAGAUGGUCCCGCGGUGCAUUAGCUAGUUGGUAAGGUAAUGGCUUACCAAGGCGAUGAUGCAUAGCCGAGUUGAGAGACUGAUCGGCCACAAUGGGACUGAGACACGGCCCAUACUCCUACGGGAGGCAGCAGUAGGGAAUCUUCCACAAUGGGCGAAAGCCUGAUGGAGCAACGCCGCGUGUGUGAUGAAGGGUUUCGGCUCGUAAAACACUGUUGUAAGAGAAGAAUGACAUUGAGAGUAACUGUUCAAUGUGUGACGGUAUCUUACCAGAAAGGAACGGCUAAAUACGUGCCAGCAGCCGCGGUAAUACGUAUGUUCCAAGCGUUAUCCGGAUUUAUUGGGCGUAAAGCGAGCGCAGACGGUUAUUUAAGUCUGAAGUGAAAGCCCUCAGCUCAACUGAGGAAUUGCUUUGGAAACUGGAUGACUUGAGUGCAGUAGAGGAAAGUGGAACUCCAUGUGUAGCGGUGAAAUGCGUAGAUAUAUGGAAGAACACCAGUGGCGAAGGCGGCUUUCUGGACUGUAACUGACGUUGAGGCUCGAAAGUGUGGGUAGCAAACAGGAUUAGAUACCCUGGUAGUCCACACCGUAAACGAUGAGUGCUAGGUGUUUGAGGGUUUCCGCCCUUAAGUGCCGCAGCUAACGCAUUAAGCACUCCGCCUGGGGAGUACGACCGCAAGGUUGAAACUCAAAGGAAUUGACGGGGACCCGCACAAGCGGUGGAGCAUGUGGUUUAAUUCGAAGCAACGCGAAGAACCUUACCAGGUCUUGACAUCCCUUGACAACUCCAGAGAUGGAGCGUUCCCUUCGGGGACAAGGUGACAGGUGGUGCAUGGUUGUCGUCAGCUCGUGUCGUGAGAUGUUGGGUUAAGUCCCGCAACGAGCGCAACCCUUAUUACUAGUUGCCAGCAUUCAGUUGGGCACUCUAGUGAGACUGCCGGUGACAAACCGGAGGAAGGUGGGGAUGACGUCAAAUCAUCAUGCCCCUUAUGACCUGGGCUACACACGUGCUACAAUGGCGUAUACAACGAGUUGCCAACCCGCGAGGGUGAGCUAAUCUCUUAAAGUACGUCUCAGUUCGGAUUGUAGGCUGCAACUCGCCUACAUGAAGUCGGAAUCGCUAGUAAUCGCGGAUCAGCACGCCGCGGUGAAUACGUUCCCGGGUCUUGUACACACCGCCCGUCACACCAUGAGAGUUUGUAACACCCAAAGCCGGUGGGGUAACCUUCGGGAGCCAGCCGUCU
Molecule: ribosomal RNA, 1443 nt
Filed under: Weissella confusa
Lineage: Bacteria; Bacillati; Bacillota; Bacilli; Lactobacillales; Lactobacillaceae
Description: bacterial SSU rRNA
Rfam family: Bacterial small subunit ribosomal RNA
Source: RNAcentral